GACGCUGGCGGCGUGCUUAACACAUGCAAGUCGAACGAUGAAGCCCAGCUUGCUGGGUGGAUUAGUGGCGAACGGGUGAGUAACACGUGAGUAACCUGCCCUUAACUCUGGGAUAAGCCUGGGAAACUGGGUCUAAUACCGGAUAGGAGCGUCCACCGCAUGGUGGGUGUUGGAAAGAUUUAUCGGUUUUGGAUGGACUCGCGGCCUAUCAGCUUGUUGGUGAGGUACUGUACCUCACCAA
Molecule: ribosomal RNA, 241 nt
Filed under: uncultured bacterium
Lineage: Bacteria
Description: partial 16S ribosomal RNA
Rfam family: Bacterial small subunit ribosomal RNA
Source: RNAcentral